This 63-nucleotide transfer RNA is filed under the name Placobdella lamothei. Its description in RNAcentral is "transfer RNA Tryptophan". Lineage: Eukaryota; Metazoa; Annelida; Clitellata; Rhynchobdellida; Glossiphoniidae. The record is from RNAcentral.
AAGACCUUAAGUUAUAUAAACUAAGAACCUUCAAAGUUUUAAAAGAAUUAUAUUCAGGUCUUG